This 39-nucleotide non-coding RNA is filed under the name unclassified sequences. RNAcentral's name for it is "DUF805b RNA". It matches the Rfam family "DUF805b RNA". Rfam says of the family: Bacteroidetes, Chlorobi (1 example), Proteobacteria. Lineage (Flavobacteria) The record is from RNAcentral.
AUGGAGUAAGCUGAAAAUCCAAUAUUAAAAGAGUAAGCG